GAUGAAGAACGCAGCGAAAUGCGAUAAGUAGUGUGAAUUGCAGAAUUCAGUGAAUCAUCGAAUCUUUGAACGCACAUUGCGCCCCUUGGUAUCCCGAGGGGCAUGCCUGUUCGAGCGUCAUUUCACCACUCAAGCCUGGCUUGGUGUUGGGCGACGUCCCCUUUGGGGACGCGCCUCGAAACGCUCGGCGGCGUGGCACCGGCUUUAAGCGUAGCAGAAUCUUUCGCUUUGGAAGUCGGGGCCCCGUCUGCCGGAAGACCUACUCGCAAGGUUGACCUCGGAUCAGGCAGGGAUACCGCUGAACUUAAGCAUAUCAAUAAGCGGAGGA
Molecule: unclassified non-coding RNA, 328 nt
Filed under: soil metagenome
Description: partial contains 5.8S ribosomal RNA, internal transcribed spacer 2, and large subunit ribosomal RNA
Rfam family: 5.8S ribosomal RNA (bases 1-120)
Source: RNAcentral